This 68-nucleotide transfer RNA is filed under the name Xanthomonas campestris pv. raphani 756C. RNAcentral's name for it is "tRNA-Sup (TCA) (tRNA-Sup-TCA-1-1)". It matches the Rfam family "tRNA", at positions 5 to 66 of the family's 71-position model. Rfam says of the family: Transfer RNA (tRNA) molecules are approximately 80 nucleotides in length. The record is from RNAcentral. Lineage: Bacteria; Pseudomonadati; Pseudomonadota; Gammaproteobacteria; Lysobacterales; Lysobacteraceae.
GGAUAGCUCAGUUGGGUAGAGCAGCGGAGUCACCUCCGUGAGACGCGGGUUCGAAUCCCGCUCCACCA